GAGUUUGUCAUGGCUCAGAUUGAACGCUGGCGGCAGGCCUAACACAUGCAAGUCGAGCGGAUGACGGGAGCUUGCUCCUUGAUUCAGCGGCGGACGGGUGAGUAAUGCCUAGGAAUCUGCCUGGUAGUGGGGGACAACGUUUCGAAAGGAACGCUAAUACCGCAUACGUCCUACGGGAGAAAGCAGGGGACCUCCGGGCCUUGCGCUAUCAGAUGAGCCUAGGUCGGAUUAGCUAGUUGGUGGGGUAAUGGCUCACCAAGGCGACGAUCCGUAACUGGUCUGAGAGGAUGAUCAGUCACACUGGAACUGAGACACGGUCCAGACUCCUACGGGAGGCAGCAGUGGGGAAUAUUGGACAAUGGGCGAAAGCCUGAUCCAGCCAUGCCGCGUGUGUGAAGAAGGUCUUCGGAUUGUAAAGCACUUUAAGUU
This 429-nucleotide ribosomal RNA is filed under the name bacterium enrichment culture clone ALO1_GLFRUDD03F5BO0. RNAcentral describes it as "bacterial SSU rRNA". It matches the Rfam family "Bacterial small subunit ribosomal RNA", at positions 9 to 441 of the family's 1533-position model. The record is from RNAcentral.